GCGCUCUCUUUGGCAACACUUGUACUAAAAUUGGAAUGAUACAAAGAAAAUUAGCAUGGCCCCUGCCCAAGGAUGACUCCAAAUUCAUGAAGCAUUGCAUAUUUUU
Molecule: small nuclear RNA, 106 nt
Organism: Sciurus vulgaris (Eurasian red squirrel)
Lineage: Eukaryota; Metazoa; Chordata; Mammalia; Rodentia; Sciuridae
Source: Ensembl